This is a non-coding RNA of Zonotrichia albicollis (white-throated sparrow), 2986 nucleotides long. NCBI's taxonomy places the organism in Eukaryota, Metazoa, Chordata, Aves, Passeriformes, Passerellidae. The record is from RefSeq and is a predicted model, not a curated record.
UCUCUGUUCCAUCAGGAGAGUCUUCAUUACGUGGCAAAAAAUGUCAGAAACACUGGAACUCAUCUCAUUAAAUGCAGGCAUCCCAGGCAUAGAGCCAGUCAUUGAGGCUGCUUAGUUCAUGGAGAGAAAGAAUCACUUUUGAAGCAGACUAAUAAAGAUAAAAGAGGCCAGGUGACAGACAUAAAGAUGCCUGUUUUCCUGGUUAGGGUUUUGCAGGAACUCCAAGGGUGUGAUGGAAGCAGCUGUACUGAAGACAACAAGCGAGCAUGUGCUGCCCAGAUUACUCACAACCAGUAAAGGAUACAACCAAAGAUGCCAAGUCAGGCACAGAAAAGUUGGGAAGUGACAGAAAUAGGCAUUUUGUUUUGCAGGUCAGAUGCCUGGUAUUUCUGAAAUACACAGCAAGGAGGUUACAGAGCAAUGCAAGCACAAAACCAUCCCCUGACCACAGCGUGGUGGGGCCAGGAUGAAGCUCAGCCCCUUGGGAGCCCUCAGGAGCUGGAAUGCAGCACCACAUCUCGCCUGGCUUCGGUGAAGGGUGGCCAAGCUUUCCCCUUUGAGCUUUGAUCACAGGAAAGAGUGAUUUAAAUAUUUAUUCAGGGGAUGUAAACUGUGGAACAGAAGCAGCUCUUCAAGGCAGAACGUAUUAUUUCAGCAUGAAACAAAAUAAAUUAUUUCCAAAAUAAUACAUUCACUAAGACUUUUUGAUACCAAUUAGGGUAAUUUUUUACUUGCACACAGUUAGGAUAUAAAUCCUAGGCCAUGCAAAUAUUUAAAAGUGCUGUCAGCCCAAGGGAGGUCUAGCAAAAGUCUGCUGGUAACAAGAGAUAUACCUUAAUCUUCUCCAUAUCUUUAUAGCUGCUGUUGAAAUGUGUAAGACACUGUUCUGAUCCAAUUUCUGCCACAGUUUCUGAAGAUUUACAACAAAUUAAUGUUUUGCCAAAGGUAUUUCUUCGAAGAAAAUCUCUAUCAGUUCAGUGGGGGAAGAAAUUGAGUAGAAUGCUUAUUUUUUAUGCUUCAAGAGGUGAAAUACCUGCUUUCAUUUGAGUGAAUGGCUUUGGGGACAUGUGGGCAGUUAAUUUUCAGUACAAUCUAUUUUAUUCAGAUAAGAAAUCAACAACAGAAAAGAGAGAAAAUUUAAGCACUGCAUAUUAUAUGACUGGAUCUGGAGGAACAUAUAAAUUAUUGUCUUCAAAGAAAUUUAUUCAUAUUCUCAUUGUCCACAUGAGAUGAUCUCUGUGCUGAAAUCAGGUUUAUCCCUUUCCCCUUCCUUUGACAAAGACUGGUUUCAGUUUUACAGAAGAGAAAUAGUGAGAGGGAAGUUAAAUGAUUUGCCCAAGGUCACAUAAAAAACUGAUAGUGAAAUCAGAAAUUGAACCUACAUUAUCUGGUUCCCCAAAAGGCUUAGGGACUAAUGUGCCCAUUUUUCCUAUAUAUUUCUUUUUAUUUCACUUUUGUGUUUGACAUUUCAGGCAGUAUAUCUCUACAUCCUUUCUUUGUUAAUCCUCAGAAGCUUUACAGAGUCACAAUAGCAGGACACACACCAUAUCAAAUAUCUGCCAUGUACAGAGCAACUGCUGCCCUCAUGCAGGGCCCAGAGUCAGGCAAGAAUGAAUCAACACCAUGUGCAAUAAUUCACUUGUUUCUGCUACUUGGUGUAAUAUAUAUGUCAGCCAGAGGAGUGAUGGCUAAAUUCAAAUAAAAAGAAAGACAACACAAGGGCAUGGAGCUGGGUUUUUUUGUUUUAUUUUUUUUUCCAAAAUCUUUAGUAUUUGUUAGGGUGGUGUUUCAGGAGAUAAUCAGCUAACUGGAUUUGUUCAUAACAGCCAGUCUCAAACAGCUCCUAAACUCCUGAGAAUAAAGGAACUGGAAAACCUCUUAUCUGUGGGACACAAGAAAAAAGAGUGUCAUUUUUAAUCUUCUCUUUCUAACCCGGCACAGCAGGCAGUGUGACAGUCUCACUGGGCUCUGUGUACAAAUGAACACGACAGCUGAGCUCACUUGUGAUUCAGCAGGGCAGAGAAGGACGGGCUUGGCAGCUCUGCUGAGCUGGGGCUGUGCAGUUCAAUGUGCUUGAAGCCCUUUUGAAGGGCUCCAAAGGUCUUGCCUUGGUGGAUUCACUGAGCUGAGGAGGAGGAGCCCCAUGGACCUCCUGGCAGAUGGAAUCCAGCCUGGGAUGGCUGUCAGCAUGGGACCCUCCCUGAGGACUGCAGAGCACCCAGCCUGGCAACCUCAGUGACACAGGGCAGGGAUUAAGAUUGCAUAAACUCAGCCAAGUCAAGACUCCUGCCAGCCCUAGCAGGAUUCCUAAACUCCAAAGAUUUCCUCAGCCAAAGAGGACCUGGACACCAUAAAAGUGGUAUGUCUAGCCUAGAAACACAAAUCAAACCCUUGUGCUGGGAGGAAAGGGUUGAAAGCACAAGGAAUAUCAAAGAGGUAAAUUCACCCAAAUGACCUUGCAGCUGAGAAUGCUAAAAAUACCAGAGUGGGGAAACCCCAAUUAUGCCCAGAGUUGUGCAUCCUCUCCCUGUUUACAGAAGUAGAAUUCCUGUGUAGAGAUAACACACUGUCACAGACAUACUUGGGCCUCCUGAUGGAGAGAGAGAGAGAGAAAUCAGAAGCUCAGAAGCAGAAAAGCACAGCCUUGUGAUAAACUGCACAUUCAUGAAGCCCUGUGGUACAGUGGGGCAGGCAGGGACUCACACCCACACAUUGCUAGGAUGGACUAAGCCUGAUGGAGCCUGUGUCCCCAGGUGUCUCUGCCACCUGAUGUUGUUAAUAAUGUAAUGAAAUAAAUCUACUCCUUGCAUUUCAGCUGUGGUUUGGUGGUCACCCUGGUUACCUGUAAGUGUGGAUUCACAUACCUUGGAAACAGCAUCAAAAAGUCACAUGGUGUUGAACAGAUCCUGGAGUUAUCUUCUGUGUUUUGAUUUGCUCCUUAAAACUAAAAAUCCAUGAUACCGGCCAGAAGAACCAUUAUGUUAGA